UACGGAGGGUGCAAGCGUUAUCCGGAUUCACUGGGUUUAAAGGGUGCGUAGGCGGGUAUAUAAGUCAGUGGUGAAAGCUCCGAGCUUAACUUGGAAACUGCCAUUGAUACUGUAUAUCUUGAAUAUCGUAGAGGUUAGCGGAAUGUUGCAUGUAGCGGUGAAAUGCUUAGAUAUGUUACAGAACACCAAUUGCGAAGGCAGCUAACUAUGCGACAAUUGACGCUGAGGCACGAAAGCGUGGGGAUCAAACAGG
This 253-nucleotide ribosomal RNA is filed under the name uncultured bacterium. Its description in RNAcentral is "partial 16S ribosomal RNA". It matches the Rfam family "Bacterial small subunit ribosomal RNA", at positions 524 to 776 of the family's 1533-position model. The record is from RNAcentral. RNAcentral also lists the same sequence under 1 other name.